GAUGAACGCUGGCGGCGUGCCUAAUACAUGCAAGUCGAGCGAACGGACGAGAAGCUUGCUUCUCUGAUGUUAGCGGCGGACGGGUGAGUAACACGUGGAUAACCUACCUAUAAGACUGGGAUAACUUCGGGAAACCGGAGCUAAUACCGGAUAAUAUUUUGAACCGCAUGGUUCAAAAGUGAAAGACGGUCUUGCUGUCACUUAUAGAUGGAUCCGCGCUGCAUUAGCUAGUUGGUAAGGUAACGGCUUACCAAGGCAACGAUGCAUAGCCGACCUGAGAGAGUGAUCGGCCACACUAGAACUGGGACACGGUCCAGACUACUACGGGAGGCAGCAGUAGGGAAUCUUCCGCAGUGGGCGAAAGCCUGACGGAGCAACGCCGCGUGAGUGAUGAAGGUCUUCGGAUCGGAAAGCUCUGUUAUUAGGGAAAAACAUAUGUGUAAGUAACUGUGCACAUCUUGACGGUACCUAAUCAGAAAGCCACGGCUAACUACGUG
RNAcentral lists this ribosomal RNA (497 nucleotides) under uncultured bacterium. RNAcentral describes it as "partial 16S ribosomal RNA". It matches the Rfam family "Bacterial small subunit ribosomal RNA", at positions 28 to 507 of the family's 1533-position model. The record is from RNAcentral.